Molecule: small RNA, 28 nt
Filed under: Bombyx mori (domestic silkworm)
Lineage: Eukaryota; Metazoa; Arthropoda; Insecta; Lepidoptera; Bombycidae
Description: ovarian small RNA-23922
Source: RNAcentral
UAUGAUUGCAGAUGAGCGUGAUGUCUAC